Molecule: long non-coding RNA, 2136 nt
Organism: Dicentrarchus labrax (European seabass)
Lineage: Eukaryota; Metazoa; Chordata; Actinopteri; Moronidae
Source: Ensembl
AUGAUGUCAUCACCAACACAAGACUCUACAACAAGGACAAAGAGGAGCAAGAGAGUGAGAGACAGCAACAGAACGCUGAGGAGGAAAGAAGAAAACGUGAAGUACUAUUGUAACAGUACUGGGGAACCAUUGCCUAGUUUUGCCACUGACCAGACACGUUUUAUAAAAAAUAAUAUGGAAAGCAAGAUGCUUCAACUCAGCAUGACUGAAGUGAACAGUGCCCCUCUACCACCACUUUCUAGUGCAGCCAAGCUAUCCAAAGAUGCUUUAGCUGCAAAGGCCGUAUUUUCAACAAAGUGUAGUUCCACUGCUAGGGCAAAGGGGUCCAACUACCGUUCACAAGAUACAGGUGAAUCAUUGCCCAGAUUUGGAACUACUCAGACUCGGUCGAUGAAGCAACACAUGGAUCGCAACAAACUGGAGCUGAGCUACCAUGAAGCCAGUGAAGACAAGCUGAAGACAACCUGCCAACCAGCCGUUUCUAAGAAAGAAGUGUUGAAAUCGAAAGACCCUUCAAAGGAAGUAGCAGCAGGACGGCGUAAACUCCUUCCUAAAGAGGGUUCCAACUACUGUGGUAACACAGGGGAGUCUUUGCCCAGAUUCGGCACUACUCAGACUCGGUCGAUGAAGCAACACAUGGAUCGCAACAAACUGGAGCUGAGCUACCAUGAAGCCAGUGAAGACAAGCUGAAAACAACCUGCCAACCAGCCGUUUCUAAGAAAGAAGUGUUGAAAUCGAAAGACCCUUCAAAGGAAGUAGCAGCAGGACGGCGUAAACUCCUUCCUAAAGAGGGUUCCAACUACUGUGGUAACACAGGGGAGUCUUUGCCCAGAUUCGGCACUACUCAGACUCGGUCGAUGAAGCAACACAUGGAUCGCAACAAACUGGAGCUGAGCUACCAUGAAGCCAGUGAAGACAAGCUGAAGACAACCUGCCAACCAGCCGUUUCUAAGAAAGAAGUGUUGAAAUCUAAAGACCCUUCAAAGGAAGUAGCAGCAGGACGGCGUAAACUCCUUCCUAAAGAGGGUUCCAACUACUGUGGUAACACAGGGGAGUCUUUGCCCAGGUUUGGCACUCAUCAGACUCGGUCCAUGAAACAUCACUUGGAUCGCAACAAGCUGGAGCUGAGCUACGAGGAAACCAGUAAGGUCAAGCUGGAGCCAACCUGCCUCCCAGCUAUUUCCAAGAAAGAAAUGUUAAAAUCGACGAUCCUUUCAAAGGAUGUAGCAGCAGGACGGCGUAACCCCCUUCCUAAAGAGGGUUCCAACUACUGUGGUAACACAGGGGAGUCUUUGCCAAGAUUCGGCACUACUCAGACUCGGUCAGUGAAGCAACACUUGGAUCGCAACAAACUGGACCUGAGCUACCGUGAAGCCAGGGAAGUCAAGCUGAAGACAACCUGCCAACCAGCUGUUUCCAAGAAAGAAGUGUUGAAAUCGAAAGACCCUUCAAAGGAAGUAGCAGCAGGACGGCGUAGCCUCCUUCCUAAAGAGGGUUCCAACUACUGUGGUAACACAGGGGAGUCUUUGCCCAGAUUCGGCACUACUCAGACGCGGUCAGUGAAGCAACACUUGGAUCGCAACAAACUGGACCUGAGCUACCGUGAAGCCAGGGAAGUCAAGCUGAAGACAACCUGCCAACCAGCUGUUUCCAAGAAAGAAGUGUUGAAAUCCAAAGACCCUUCAAAGGAAGUAGCAGCAGGACGGCGUAAACUCCUUCCUAAAGAGGGUUCCAACUACUGUGGUAACACAGGGGAGUCUUUGCCCAGAUUCGGCACUACUCAGACUCGGUCAGUGAAGCAACACUUGGAUCGCAACAAACUGGACCUGAGCUACCAUGAAGCCAGGGAAGUCAAGCUGAAGACAACCUACCAACCAGCUAUUUCCAAGAAGGAAGUGUUGAAAUCGAAAGACCCUUCAAAGGAAGUAGCAGCAGGACGGCGUAACCUCCUUCCUAAAGAGAGUUCCAACUACUGUGGUAACACAGGGGAGUCUUUGCCCAGAUUCGGCACUACUCAGACUCGGUCAGUGAAGCAACACUUGAAUCGCAACAAACUGGACCUGAGCUACCAUGAAGCCAGUGAAGUCAAGCGGAAGACAACCUGCCAACCAGCUAUUUUCAAGAAAGGAGAGUAA